Molecule: ribosomal RNA, 301 nt
Filed under: uncultured bacterium
Lineage: Bacteria
Description: partial 16S ribosomal RNA
Rfam family: Bacterial small subunit ribosomal RNA
Source: RNAcentral
CAGCAGCCACGGGAAUACGUAGGGUGCGAGCGUUAAUCGGAAUUACUGGGCGUAAAGCGUGCGCAGGCGGUUGUGUAAGACAGGUGUGAAAUCCCCGGGCUUAACCUGGGAACUGCGCUUGUGACUGCACAGCUAGAGUAUGGCAGAGGGGGGUGGAAUUCCACGUGUAGCAGUGAAAUGCGUAGAGAUGUGGAGGAACACCGAUGGCGAAGGCAGCCCCCUGGGCCAAUACUGACGCUCAUGCACGAAAGCGUGGGGAGCAAACAGGAUUAGAUACCCCUGUAGUCCCUGUCUCUUAUAU